Molecule: transfer RNA, 58 nt
Filed under: Zea mays
Lineage: Eukaryota; Viridiplantae; Streptophyta; Magnoliopsida; Poales; Poaceae
Rfam family: tRNA
About the family: Transfer RNA (tRNA) molecules are approximately 80 nucleotides in length. Their secondary structure includes four short double-helical elements and three loops (D, anti-codon, and T loops).
Source: Rfam by way of RNAcentral
UAGCUCAGUCGGUAGAGUGCAAGGCUUUUAACCUUGAGGUUGUGGGUUCGAGCCCCAC